This 253-nucleotide ribosomal RNA is filed under the name uncultured bacterium. RNAcentral's name for it is "partial 16S ribosomal RNA". It matches the Rfam family "Bacterial small subunit ribosomal RNA", at positions 524 to 776 of the family's 1533-position model. The record is from RNAcentral.
UACAGAGGUCUCAAGCGUUGUUCGGAUUCGCUGGGCGUAAAGGGUGUGUAGGUGGCGCGCUAAGUCGGGUGUGAAAUUUCGGAGCUUAACUCCGAAACUGCAUUCGAUACUGGCGUGCUUGAGGACUGGAGAGGAGACUGGAAUUCAUGGUGUAGCAGUGAAAUGCGUAGAGAUCAUGAGGAAGACCAGUGGCGAAGGCGGGUCUCUGGACAGUUCCUGACACUGAGACACGAAGGCCAGGGGAGCAAACGGG